Cyanistes caeruleus (blue tit) is the source of this 2972-nucleotide non-coding RNA. Lineage: Eukaryota; Metazoa; Chordata; Aves; Passeriformes; Paridae. The record is from RefSeq and is a predicted model, not a curated record.
ACCUGGAGGCAGCAGCAGAAGGACUGAAGGAUCACAGUGCUGCCACCGUGCUGCAGCCACCUGUGCCUUCCCACAGCCCUGCCCCUGGUGCCAGAGCCCUGUGCAGUGCUGGUGCUUGGAGGCUGAUGGUUCCAGCCUGACACAGCCUCCUUGCACCCUGCAUGGGUGGCAAACCCACCCAUAUUUGAUUUGUUACGCUUCCUUUUCUGGUUGGAUGUGCCAUUGUGCAGGGCAAUGAAACAUGUUUAAGGUGGUAUCUGUUGAAACAACCAUGAAACGCUUGUAUUCACAAGGUAUUUUAUUAGAAUCCUUCUAAUUUUAGCCUAAACCUAUUUUAUGGAUUUCACUUCAAAGCGUUAUUUAUAAAAAGAAUCACUGAAUCCUUAUAGCCUUAACAGUCAUGAGGUAAUCUUAGGAAAGUCAUUUAAGGAUGCUAAGGCAGCAAACAGUCCAAUAUGUCUAUGAAUUGGACCCCAUGUAAUUUUGAUCUUGUUGAAUUUGUGUACCCUGUCAUUCACAUCGGCUUGUUUUACUGUUCCUGCCCCCCUCUCCAAUAUAAUCCAGUCCCUUAGACCAUGUCAAUAGGGAUGUGCCAAGGCUCUAUGUCAUAGAGGGUUCAUUCUGUCUCCACAGGCUGCCCUUUCUCUGUCUCCAAGGCAAUAGAUGCAUUAAUGCACCCUCAGACAGUGGCCUGCCAUUAAAAUGCUCCUUUGUAAGUGCAUCUUUGGUAGCCUGGAGAGCUGACUACAUCAUGUGAACAUUUUUCAGUGCCACAAAAAGCUGGGGGAAGAGAGAAUUUAAUUUUGUUUAGCUAGGACUAAGUUGCCUUGAGCUAUUGGCACUCAUCUUUUCUUGGUGCAAACUUUUGUGUAGUCAAUUUCAGAGUCCCAUCAUUAACAGUUCUCAUUUCCAAAGAGUUUAUAAUGUAAAUGGGCAGAUAGUCAAGUCUUUUCCUCAAGCAGGGAUAUUACUAUUCACUGCUUUAGAGCCUUGGUGCAGUCUUUUUGGCAUGAACAGUUGCCUUAAUGCUCUUGCAGGUAAAACUCAAUUAUCUCACUGUCUGACUCACAGAAACCUCCACAGCUCUUAGGAGAGCACAGGCUGGUGGAGGAAAAGUGCAAGCAUUCUGCUCCCUAGAUGAUAUCUGGAGAGAAGGUGUCCUGAGGAUGAGGCCUGCAGGUGCCACGGGCUGUGCAUUUCUGCAGCACAGCCUGAGCCCCCUGAGCUGGACUGUCCCUGGCAGCAGUGGUUCUGGGCUGGCUGCUGCUGGGUUCCUCUCCUCUGGAACAGGACUGUCCCUGGCAGCAGUGGUGGGUUUCUCUGUGCUGAAGCUGUUGGCUCCACAGGAGAGCCCUUUCCUGCCCAGCUGGAUCACUCCCACCAGCCUCAUGGUCUGCACAUGACAAAGCAUUGAUGCAAUUCAGGACAUUCAUCCUCUGCUCUGGGCAGCUUCACUAAAAUACAAUCCUGUUUGACAGAUGUACUCCAGCACAUCUUUUUGAGAAAUCCUAUGCCAGCUCCUCUUGCUUUUGUCUGGGGCCAGGCCUUUGCUGGUGAAGCUCCUUCCAGGUGUUCACCCAAGUUUCUGAUUUAUCUCCUUUGUGUUCUGUGGAAAGUCAGGCUGCAGCAUUCAGGAACAAUGGUACAAUUAUGUAAGAGCUCUUUUUCCCUUUCAGAGAGGACAGAGUGAAAAUCUCCAGGGAUAUCUGUUUGUCUUUUGGCAGUGCUUGGCAAAUGCUUAAAUGCUGUUCGAUAUUAAACAAUCUUGCUUGUGACUGGCAUUUAAGAAGUAACAAAAUUAUGUUUGGUCGUGUUCUCUCAACUAACGUCUCUUAGGUGCUGUUGCAAAGACCUGGGGCAUGGUUGAGAGGGAGAAACCAUUUUAAUUAUUGCAGAGAAUAAAUUUAUCUAUCAUGAAUUGAAGAAUCAGCUAUGUAUGAGGACAAUUUUUGGGACGGCAAGUACUUGAGGGGGCAUUUAAUACUAAAAUGCUGAUCAGAAGCCUUAGGCAGUGUAAGGAAUGUGCAGGGACAUUAGUGAUGAAUGGUCUGUGUUGAGUGUGCACUGCAGGGUUGUGCUCCACAAGGUGACAGAUCACACACAUCCAGCAGUGCAGCUGACCAAGGUUCUCCAUGGGACAUCCACUUAAUUGUGCUUUAAACAAAUCACAUUAUUGGUCUAUUGGCUGAAUCCAACCCCUUCUUUGUGGUAUGCUAAGAAGCACACAUGAGUUAUUACAGUGGAAAGUGCUUUAAAAACACUAAUUGACUUUGUGUCAAGGGGCCUGAUUGUACAUCUCUGAACGAAUUCAAUUAAAUGGUGUAGGUGGUUUUAUUUUGGAUCUUAGCCAAUUUUGCUUCCAGCUCUCAUUUGGGGGAUAUUUUUUAACCUUAUUGAACUUAAAGAACAAACAACAAUUUUCUGUUGCUCUAGGCAUUUUCUUCCUUAAAAUUUCCCUUUUCUAAAUACUGAAGCAAAUUUUUACAGGGCUGGUUUGCACCACUUUGCACUGGUGUUUCUGAAUAGAAAUUUGUGAUUUAUUUUCGAGAUUUAAAAAUAGUUUCUUAUUUAUUUUGGUUAUUUCAGGGAAGAAAUUUCACGGGAAAUCAAUAGUUUUAAAGUACAUUUGCAUUUUACCAGCAGAAAGUUAAAACAUUAAUUGUUCUUUAAUAAACUCCAUCUGAAUGACAGAUAUGAUAAAAGCAAAGAUGAAUAUUUCUGUGUCCUGAAACAAUGUUCCUUCCCCCUCUGCACCCAGAUGUUUUCUCCUAACAGUUUAUUCUUUCUUUUUCUCUAUGUAAAUAUUAUGGGACUCUGAUGGGAAAGAAGCUGAUGGCCAUCGUAUAAUAAAUAUCUGUUCUCCUGUGCUUAUUAAGUGGUGUGCAAACCUCUUUAUAUGAAUGAUCCCCUGGAAAGGCUUAACUUUGGAGAGACUUCACCUUCCAUUACAAUAAUACAAUACCUCACUCUUG